Molecule: non-coding RNA, 803 nt
Organism: Penaeus vannamei (Pacific white shrimp)
Lineage: Eukaryota; Metazoa; Arthropoda; Malacostraca; Decapoda; Penaeidae
Source: RefSeq, a predicted model, not a curated record
AUUCCACUGAGCACGCUCUCUGCCUCGGGCUGUACGGGACGGAAUAUUGCCAUACGUUACUGUCGUUCCGGCAGGCGAGGCCGGGGUGCGGCGCCGGGCGAGCGAAGAACCACCUCACGCCGGCAGAAGGACGUCUAGAGCCUUACUACACACACGACCAUCAACGGAAUUCAUCAUGUCUCUGGAAGAGACGAUUCUUUCUAGAUUUGAGUAGAAUCGAAGGACGCAAACAGACGUGCUUUUUGCUUCUGCUUGAAGUAUAGGAGUGGGAGUGAAUAAAUGUAAAUGAACUCGUGAUUGUGUGAAUUGAAGUAAUGUCUUGAGUAGGUACUUUAACACUUGAUGUAACCACAGUGGAAUACAAACUUUCCAGAUUCUUUGAUGGUUUCCUGUUUUUGCCUUUUAUAGAAUACUCCGAAACGUGGAUUUCCCGCAGUUGUUUUAUGAAGAUAGUUGCAAAAUAAAUUUAGACGUGCAUUAACUUUUUUUCCCAUUCAGUAGUAUACGCAUAUGAAGCCAGUGCCAAUGAGUCAUGACAAGCCACAAAUAGAUUUAUUAUUACGCCUGUAUAUAUUUCUCAAUGAUGUUGGUUUCGAGAACAAACUUUUCUCAGAUAUAAGCAUUCCUUAGUACGAAAGUAGACAUGGAGAACCACAUUAGAGCUGAAAUAUUGUGGUAAUACAACUUGGAUACAUUCCAAUGACAUAAGCAGCCAGUUGGCACAAAAUGACAUGCACUAAGUAAUGAAUGGUAAGUGGAAUAGAGGAAAUGGAAUCCUACAUAAAAGGAAUUCUAUAGUAGAA